RNAcentral lists this ribosomal RNA (505 nucleotides) under uncultured bacterium. Its description in RNAcentral is "partial 16S ribosomal RNA". It matches the Rfam family "Bacterial small subunit ribosomal RNA", at positions 28 to 507 of the family's 1533-position model. The record is from RNAcentral.
GACGAACGCUGGCGGCGUGCCUAAUACAUGCAAGUAGAACGCACAGUUUAUACCGUAGCUUGCUACACCAUAGACUGUGAGUUGCGAACGGGUGAGUAACGCGUAGGUAACCUGCCUGGUAGCGGGGGAUAACUAUUGGAAACGAUAGCUAAUACCGCAUAAUAUUAAUUAUUGCAUGAUAAUUAAUUGAAAGGUGCAAUUGCACCACUACCAGAUGGACCUGCGUUGUAUUAGCUAGUAGGUGAGGUAACGGCUCACCUAGGCGACGAUACAUAGCCGACCUGAGAGGGUGAUCGGCCACACUGGGACUGAGACACGGCCCAGACGCCUUCGGGAGGCAGCAGUAGGGAAUCUUCGGCAAGGGACGAAAGUCUGACCGAGCAACGCCGCGGGAGGGAAGAAGGAUGUCGGAUCGUAAAGCUCGGUUGUAAGGGAAGAACGGGUGUGAGAGUGGAAAGUUCACACUGUGACGGUAGCUGACCAGAAAGGGACGGCUAACUACGUG